RNAcentral lists this long non-coding RNA (1161 nucleotides) under Brassica rapa (field mustard). Its description in RNAcentral is "long non-coding RNA (BRAP_LNC005127)". The record is from RNAcentral. Lineage: Eukaryota; Viridiplantae; Streptophyta; Magnoliopsida; Brassicales; Brassicaceae.
UCGGGAAUUUAUUUAGAUAUUACAAUUAUGAGAAAGAUUACAAAGAUGAUUCGAUUACCGACAAUACUACCUGACUUAUGAGGAUCUACGCCUAACUGCCUCAUUUGAGCCGUCCUAUGAAGAUCACGUCUGGCCGGAUUUACUUGCACCAUGUUGAGAAACUCUUGUAAGCCUUUCUUCCGUAAUCGCAUAAUUGUUGAAUAAAUCGCUUGCUCCGGGAAUUGAAACCUGGAUUUCAUGUGCAAUCUGCAAGAAAUUGAAUAGUCUGGGAUUUGAACCCCAAACUUGGGUGUAGAAGCCUUUAAACCAUAACCACUAGAUUACGGUGCUUCCACAAAUAAUUACAUAUCUAUGCCACUCAAAUUAAUAGUUUGCAAAAUUAUAGUUCUUGGGUCUGGGCAUAAAAAUAAUAGUUUGCAAACUUAUAGUUCUUGGGUUUGGUUUGCAAAUUUAUCUAAUUCUCACUACACUAUUAACUUGCACACAUCAUGUUUCACGAGCAAAUAAAUCUGCACGUUUUCAAAAACACAAACGAAACCAUCAAAUCUUUACGUAUUCAAUAUUCAAUCUUCGAACCAUUUAUAUAUAAAUAAUAUAAUUAUACUAACGUUUGCUCAUGAAAUGAUACUUUAAGACUUAUUCUUGGGUUCACUCCCUAGGGUGAAUCUCUAGGUUCACCAACCAAUAGAAUUUCAUUAUUUCAGAUUCAAUAUCUUUUAGAAAAAGAAACAAAAUAUUGUUAAGUUAUAUUAUGUUUUUAAAAUAAAAAGAUAAAAAAUAAAAAAUAAAAAUAGUAGUAAUUACAAAAAAAUAUUUUUAACGUCGUCAGGAAAAAAGUAAACCCUAAAUCCUAAUCCCUAAACCCUAAAUCUGAAACCCUAAACCCUUGGAUAAAUCAUAAACUCUAAAUCAAAAACACUAAACACUAAAACACUCAAGGGUUUAGGAUUUUAGUGUUUAGUGUUUUUGAUUUAGAAUUUAUGAUUUAUCCAAGGAUUUAGGGUUUACCCAAGGGUUUAGGGUUUACCCAAAGGUUUAGGGUUUCAGAUUUAGGGUUUAGGGAUUAGGAUUUAGAGUUUAGUGUUUUGCUGGCGACGUUAACAAUAUUUUUUAAAAAGACUUCUUUUUUUUGUAACAAUUUUUUAUUUACUUUUUUAUUUU